CCCUUAGAUGUUCUGGGCCGCACGCGCGCUACACUGACUGACUCAACGAGUGUACAACCUGCUUCGACAGAAGUGGGUAAUCUUUUGAAAUUCAGUCGUGAUGGGGCUAGAUUAUUGCAACUAUUAAUCUUCAACGAGGAAUGCCUAGUAAGCGCGAAUCAUCAGUUCGCGUUGAUUACGUCCCUGCCCUUUGUACACACCGCCCGUCGCACCUACCGAUUGAAUGGUCCGGUGAAGCCUCCGGAUUGGCGCGCACCUCGGUGCCGCCGAGAAGUUGGCUAAACCUUACCAUUUAGAGGAAGGUGAAGUCGUAACA
Molecule: ribosomal RNA, 316 nt
Filed under: uncultured eukaryote
Lineage: Eukaryota
Description: partial 18S ribosomal RNA
Rfam family: Eukaryotic small subunit ribosomal RNA
Source: RNAcentral